UCCGUUUCCCAUCUUCUUCUUCUAUCCCCACCCCCACCAUAAUUUUUACUCUCCAAAAUCGCCACCACCAGCCCCCUUUCUACUUCACCCACCAAUUUCUCCACCACCAGCCCCACCCCCUUCCCUUUAAACCCCCAAUUUCUUCUCCUUCAAUUAUCAAAUCCUUCACCCCACCUAAACCCCUUGACUUAAGAUCAUUAGAAAAGAAUGAAAUUGAAUUUCUAAAAUUAAAAGUUAUCUUCAUGAAUUUGAAAAUUUGAAAUAAAAUUGAAAUUGAAGAAAAGUUGUUAGCGGCGGUGUUAAUGGUGAUGGUGGUGUUAAUGAUGUACAUAUAUUUUUUGAGGUUUGUUUUAAUCAUUUUUCGGUGGAUUUUGUUGGAAUAUUUCGGAAUGAAGAGUUUUGAAUUGGAAUGUGGUGAUGCUAUUGCAUUGUUGUUUCUUGAAUUGGUGGUUUGAUGAAGAGAUCAUAAAGGGCUUAUAAUUAUGUUUUAAAAAUUCUAUCUUGAUUUUGUUUUUCAUGUUUUUGUUGUAUGGUAUAUUUUGAGCUAUUUAGUUUGUUGGGUUUGUGUCAGAAUCAAAAGGGGCUUUUAAUUAUGUUUUGAAUUGAUUUUGUUGGGUUUGCUUAAUGGCUAUUGGUAAAAUGUUUAAGUUUGAAGAAGAUAGAAAAUGAAGGAGAGGGGAGAGGUGGGGUGGUUUGAAGAAGAUAGAAAGGGAGGAAGGG
RNAcentral lists this long non-coding RNA (720 nucleotides) under Capsicum annuum. Its description in RNAcentral is "long non-coding RNA (CANN_LNC017777)". Lineage: Eukaryota; Viridiplantae; Streptophyta; Magnoliopsida; Solanales; Solanaceae. The record is from RNAcentral.